GUGUUUCAAAAUUUUCACCGUCCAUUUCUACUUCCAUCAUUCUCUGGAUCGUUUCCCCCAUCACUACACACCCAUUUGUGGCGACAGCCGCACAACAGUUAUCAACACUAGGGAAUGCUCCACUAUUCAUCAGAUGUUUUGGGACCAUAUACAUGAGAGUUUUUAAUUGACCCCCCUCAGUCACCUCUAUUCCUCUCUU
This 199-nucleotide long non-coding RNA is filed under the name Lathyrus oleraceus (garden pea). RNAcentral describes it as "Pisum sativum (pea) long non-coding RNA (PSAT_LNC032953)". Lineage: Eukaryota; Viridiplantae; Streptophyta; Magnoliopsida; Fabales; Fabaceae. The record is from RNAcentral.